RNAcentral lists this ribosomal RNA (500 nucleotides) under uncultured bacterium. RNAcentral describes it as "partial 16S ribosomal RNA". It matches the Rfam family "Bacterial small subunit ribosomal RNA", at positions 30 to 523 of the family's 1533-position model. The record is from RNAcentral.
AUUGAACGCUGGCGGCAUGCCUUACACAUGCAAGUCGAACGGCAGCACGGGAGCAAUCCUGGUGGCGAGUGGCGAACGGGUGAGUAAUAUAUCGGAACGUGCCCAGUCGUGGGGGAUCACGUAGCGAAAGCUACGCUAAUACCGCAUACGAUCUAUGGAUGAAAGCGGGGGAUCGCAAGACCUCGCGCGAUUGGAUCGGCCGAUAUCAGAUUAGGUAGUUGGUGAGGUAAAGGCUCACCAAGCCGACGAUCUGUAGCUGGUCUGAGAGGACGACCAGCCACACUGGGACUGAGACACGGCCCAGACUCCUACGGGAGGCAGCAGUGGGGAAUUUUGGACAAUGGGCGCAAGCCUGAUCCAGCAAUGCCGCGUGCAGGAUGAAGGCCUUCGGGUUGUAAACUGCUUUUGUACGGAACGAAACGGCGAGCUCUAAUACAGUUUGCUAAUGACGGUACCGUAAGAAUAAGCACCGGCUAACUACGUGCCAGCCGCCGCGGUAA